Astatotilapia calliptera (eastern happy) is the source of this 1215-nucleotide long non-coding RNA. Lineage: Eukaryota; Metazoa; Chordata; Actinopteri; Cichliformes; Cichlidae. The record is from Ensembl.
AAACCACCCAUCUACCCUCCUGAUCUGUAUAAUGCUUAAAGACCUGAAAAUCCAAGUUUCUUCUAAUCAAUAUGACCACCCCUCUUUUUCUAGCCGAAAAUGCACUAAAAUAAACUUGCGCCACCCAGUCUCUUUUAAGCUUUAAUGAUUCGGCCUCAUCAAGAUGGGUCUCCUGAAUCAGGGCUAUAUCAGUCUUUUUCUGUUUCAGAUAUGUGAGGAUUUUCUUCCUUUUAAUAACAUUAUGACAACCCGCUAUAUUCCACGACACAAUUUUACAUAACUCCAUAACACCAUGUGAGCCGAAUUAUUAUACAAAUUUAUCCAGAGGAAUAUCCCAUUUACCCAUAUAACAACUCUUAGAGCCAGUAACAUGAGACAACCCAAUGAUCCAAAAAUUAGGUCUAUACAGGACAGUUGGUACCAUACCAUCAAAACCAACAACAAAACCAAACACGAGAGAGAAGAAAAAAAAAAAAAAAAAAAAAAAAAAACAAAAAAACAUGAAAACAUAAAAAAUCGCAGGUCCGUGGCACUCAAAAAAAAUUUCCCAGAUGGUGUCCCUCCUUACGUCUCCCCCCCCCUCAGAAGUAAACCAACCCAUAGCUUAUCAAAUCCUCUUAAUCUACAUCACCCGGAAUGUUAACCAAAUCCAGGCCGCUUAGAAAUUGCUUAGCCUCAGCUGGGUUGGAAAACUGAUGAUACUGGUUAUCCACUGAAAAAGUCAUAACAGCCGGAAAACGAAGAGAAUAGCCAAUCUUGUACUGUUGCAACAAGCGGCGCACCUCAUCAAACUUCCUGCGUUUUUCUUGUACCUCCUGAGCGUAAUCCUGGAAAAAAAGAACUCUCAUGCCUUUCCAAACGAUCUGCCCCUUUUUUCUGGCAGCCGCCAGCACGGACAUCUUGGCUUUAUCCCGUAGGAAGCGAACAAUAAUGUGUCUCGGUCUGGAGUCCGCAGUGGGCUUCGGAAAAGCUGGCCCCACUCGAUGGAUUCUAUCUAUUUCGUAGUAAUCUCCCAUCUCAAUGUCCAGAGCCUCAGACAGCAGAUUCUUCACGUAAUCCUCAAUAUUACUGCCUUCGGAUCCUUCUCUAAUACCCGAUAUUCUAAUAUUCUGGCGCCGUGAGGAACCCUCAAGCGCCGUUACUUUUUCCUGCAGCCGCUGGUUCUGUAUCUUCAAGAUCUUACAUAUUGAGCUGGCUUUAGCCUCUUCGUCCUCC